UAAAAAUGAAAAGUAUAAAAAGAGAUAUAUACGUGUAUAUAGAAGAUUUUGAAUAUCAGACAGCAGUCCUAAAGAAGGGGAGAAAAUUUCCAUUUGAAGAAACAGGACUGGUGUCUGAGAAGCCUCAAAUCUCUGCUAAUCUGAGGUUGCUUAUUGUCUAUGUUUACAAACUGAAUCUUCGAAUCUCAUCGUGAUUAAAGCAGCUAUAAAGUAAUUUAACAAUAAACGGAAAAUUCUGCAGUUAAUUUAGAACGAUAAAACAGAGAUCAUAAAGAAUAGAUACAAAUGAUAAUAUUAACUCCAACAGUGCUCAGUUACGUUUGUAUUUGGUUAUAACAGUUUAAAACAGAAAGACUAUUCUAGUACUUUCUAACUCUGGUAUCAUGUCACAUACAGAAUCACCGUCUGCCGUGUCAUCCGUCUGCCAAGAAUGCAGUCAGUCGAAUGCACCCGAGCUAUUUCAGAUCAUGCAUUUGGCCUGCGUACUAUUUGAGUGUCAGACCACUGGGAUAGCUAGCUUUUACGCUUCUGUAUUCUGCUGUUGGACCCUCGCCAGAAUGAGAAGAAACCCACAGAUCCCUAUAAUCACAGCAAAUGACAGAUCUCAUCUUCGGCAGCCAGAGAACAAAGAGAUAUAUUCAUAGGGAAAUUUCUACUUUCAAGCUUAAGAAAACGUUUUCGCCGCUGAGAAAAUAAGAAAGUUGGCAGCACGGUCUCUAAAGCUGGAAUAUUCCAGAAAUAAUACAAGUUCAAAGGAUAUGUGAUAAAAAAGUAUUGCAGUACUUUGUUAGGAAAAAGCCGUGUUUAUUUUUAGUCUACAGAGAAUAAUGAAAUAAAUCUGAAAAAUUCA
Long non-coding RNA from Stegodyphus dumicola, 850 nucleotides. RefSeq lists it as uncharacterized. The record is from RefSeq and is a predicted model, not a curated record. Lineage: Eukaryota; Metazoa; Arthropoda; Arachnida; Araneae; Eresidae.